GACGGUUCUCGAGUGAUGCAUCCCAGAAUCAGGCUCUCUCCUCUCUGGUUCAGGAGUGUGUCCCCUGAGAACCGCC
Non-coding RNA from Myotis brandtii (Brandt's bat), 76 nucleotides. The record is from Rfam. Lineage: Eukaryota; Metazoa; Chordata; Mammalia; Chiroptera; Vespertilionidae.